This 282-nucleotide small RNA is filed under the name Saimiri boliviensis boliviensis (Bolivian squirrel monkey). Its description in RNAcentral is "Metazoan signal recognition particle RNA (ENSSBOG00000014555.1)". Lineage: Eukaryota; Metazoa; Chordata; Mammalia; Primates; Cebidae. The record is from RNAcentral.
GCCAGGCACAGUGGCUCAUGCCUGUAAUCCCAGCACUUUGGGAGGCCGAGGCAGGAGGAUCACUUGAGGUCAGGAGUUUGAGACCACCCUGACCAACAUGGUGAAACCCUGCCUUUACUAAAAAUACAAAAAUUAGCUGGGUUUGGUGGUGCAUGCCUGUAAUCCCAGCUACUCAGGAGGCUGAGGCAGGAGACUGGGCAAAACCUGGGAUGCAGAGGUUGCAGUGAGCCAAGAUUGUGCCACUGCACUCUACCCUGGGGGACAGAGUGAGACCCUGUCUUA